Molecule: ribosomal RNA, 84 nt
Filed under: Vibrio cholerae
Lineage: Bacteria; Pseudomonadati; Pseudomonadota; Gammaproteobacteria; Vibrionales; Vibrionaceae
Description: partial 16S ribosomal RNA
Rfam family: Bacterial small subunit ribosomal RNA
Source: RNAcentral
ACGCUUGCCACUUUGUGGUUCAUGACUGGGGUGAAGUCGUAACAAGGUAGCGCUAGGGGAACCUGGCGCUGGAUCACCUCCUUA